This 273-nucleotide ribosomal RNA is filed under the name uncultured bacterium. Its description in RNAcentral is "partial 16S ribosomal RNA". It matches the Rfam family "Bacterial small subunit ribosomal RNA", at positions 524 to 796 of the family's 1533-position model. The record is from RNAcentral.
UACGAACCGUCCAAACGUUAUUCGGAAUCAUUGGGCUUAAAGGGUACGUAGGCGGUGCCGUAAGUCGGGUGUGAAAUCCCUCGGCUCAACCGAGGAACUGCGCCCGAUACUGCGGUGCUUGAGGGAGACAGGGGUGAGCGGAACUGAUGGUGGAGCGGUGAAAUGCGUUGAUAUCAUCAGGAACACCAGUGGCGAAAGCGGCUCGCUGGGUCUCUUCUGACGCUGAGGUACGAAAGCUAGGGUAGCGAACGGGAUUAGAAACCCCCGUAGUCC